GACGAACGCUGGCGGCGUGCUUAACACAUGCCAGUCGAACGGAAAGGCCCUGCUUUUGUGGGGUGCUCGAGUGGCGAACGGGUGAGUAACACGUGAGUAACCUGCCCUUGACUUUGGGAUAACUUCAGGAAACUGGGGCUAAUACCGGAUAGGAGCUCCUGCUGCAUGGUGGGGGUUGGAAAGUUUCGGCGGUUGGGGAUGGACUCGCGGCUUAUCAGCUUGUUGGUGGGGUAGUGGAUUACCAAGGCUUGGACGGGUAGCCGGCCUGAGAGGGUGACCGGCCACAUUGGGACUGAGAUACGGCCCAGACUCCUACGGGAGGCAGCAGUGGGGAAUAUUGCACAAUGGGCGGAAGCCUGAUGCAGCAACGCCGCGUGCGGGAUGACGGCCUUCGGGUUGUAAACCGCUUUCGCCUGUGACGAAGCGUGAGUGACGGUAAUGGGUAAAGAAGCACCGGCUAACUACGUG
RNAcentral lists this ribosomal RNA (468 nucleotides) under uncultured bacterium. Its description in RNAcentral is "partial 16S ribosomal RNA". It matches the Rfam family "Bacterial small subunit ribosomal RNA", at positions 28 to 507 of the family's 1533-position model. The record is from RNAcentral.